UACGUAGGGGGCAAGCGUUGUCCGGAUUUACUGGGCGUAAAGAGCGUGUAGGCGGCCACGCAGGUCCGUUGUGAAAACUGGAGGCUCAACCUCCAGCUGUCGACGGAAACCGUGUGGCUAGAGUCCGGAAGAGGAGAGUGGAAUUCCUGGUGUAGCGGUGAAAUGCGCAGAUAUCAGGAAGAACACCCGUGGCGAAGGCGGCUCUCUGGGACGGUACUGACGCUGAGACGCGAAAGCGUGGGGAGCGAACAGG
Molecule: ribosomal RNA, 253 nt
Filed under: uncultured bacterium
Lineage: Bacteria
Description: partial 16S ribosomal RNA
Rfam family: Bacterial small subunit ribosomal RNA
Source: RNAcentral